AUCUGGCGCGGUUCAAUACCUCAUCUAGUCUGGGUUCCAGUAUCUAAUUUUUUUUUACUGACAAACUCAUUUCUCUACCGGGACAGGAUGCUGUGCUGGCUGGGAGUUCCAUUUCUACAGCAAGAAUCCUAUCUGGAAACAGAGAAGUUGUCCUCUAAGCCACAGCAGCUCGAACUUUUUUGAUUGUUGUUGCUGCUUUCUCCCAUCACCCCCACCCCCUUUUGACAAAGAUCCAACUGUAAAAAGUCUUACGUAACAGUUCAGGACUACUUCGGUUCUUUUACUGGUAUAUCAAGAGGCCUCAAGAGGACUAUGAAAACACUUACAUCUCCAACUCAGAGCAAUGUGGGUUUCACAAUAUUUCGUAGUACCUCUGGAAAAGGAAAGAAAGGAGGCAAACAAGAAGAGGAUGUUUACUUGUUUGACUUAGAUCUCACUGAAGGUCCUGCCCCCAGAUAUACAACAGUCAAAGGAUUAGAGCCAUCGUGUAACUGACUCAAACAGAAAAGAUAGUGAUGAAGUUCAAACAGACUGGAAGCAAAAAUGUUAACAGUUGAAAUCUCCAAGUUGUAGAAUUAAAGAUGCAACAUCUACCUACGUUUGGCUGAAAAGCAUAUGGAAGAAUCCACAGAGGGAAAGGAAGAAAAGAUGGACUAUUUUUAUUAAGAAAGGGUACCUGUAGAAAGCACAGCUGCAGGGACAGUGGAAAGUAAAGGGCUCCAGGUCCAUGGUUGAAGUGGUCACUUUGGAGGGCAGACACAUCGGCCUCAGAGAAUGAAAAUUACAAAGCAAAUUCCAGCCUACUUCUGUUCUCCUCUCAGGCUGUAUCUCAAUAGGAUCCAACUGGGUGAUCCCAAAUCUUGCAAGAGGCCUUCCAUGGAAUAGACAUUCCAUAAAUGAUUGCCAAAUGAAUUCUCUUAUGUUUUAUGACACAAUUAUGUUUAUAACUUAUGAAACUCCUUGAAGUAAGCAUAGGAUACCUUCAAACCAUCUGUGCCAUGAAGUAGAGUUCCAACGCAGAUAUAAUUUUAUUAUCUACCAGAUAUCAGGACAAAGCUAUCUUGAUUAUACUUGCUAUAGAACCCCUGAAUUUACACUGUAGCCCAACUUCCCCUCCUACUCUUCAGACUAACUAAAUCUACUGAAAAAUACAUGCACAAUCCAUCAAAAUCACAUGCCCCUUUCUCUUCUCUUCCCAGUACAGUGGGUCCUCCGUAUCCAAGAUGUGGAGGACCAAAGAUACUGCACCAUUUUAUAUAAGGGACUUGAGCAUCCUCGGAUUCUGGUGUCCAAGGAGGAUCCUGGAAUCAAUUCCUGUGGAUACCGAGGGACGACUGUAAAUAGCUGAGGCAAAACAGUAGAGUAAAAAAGAAAUAAAUGGUUUGGGAUAGUAUGGAGUUAGAAAACCUGAAUUUAAUUCCAAUUUCUGCCAUGGUUAUGUGUUCUUGGACAAGUGAGUCACCUCUUAAGCCUUAAUUCUCCGUGAAAGAGAGACUAAGUAUACCUGUCCUAUUUUCACAGGAUUGUUGUGAGGCCUCAGAGAGAGCACAGUGAAAAAAUGUGCUGCAAACAGCACACAGCAGUACAGCCCAAUGCAUCCUGGCCUUUGACAGUACUACUCCAUGGCUUAUCCCCACUUUUAGUAGAUAAGAUUCCCUCACUCCCCAAAUUCUCACCUACUUGUCAACCAGAAGCACGUAUUUGCAAGAUGUCUAGCUGAGGUUAUUAAUCUAUAACCUGGGGCUGAAUGCAGGCAUUUUUCUGUAUAUAUGUGUCACCAGCAUAGACAGUCCAUCAGAGCCACAAUCUAUUUAUUUAGGUCUUUGUAAACUUCUCUCAGAAAUAUUUUAGUUUUUAGUGUACAAAUCUUACACUUCUUUUGUUAAAUUUAUUCCUAAGUAUUUUUAUUCUUUUGAUGCAAUCGUGAAUGGAAUUGUUUUCUCACUUUCAUUUUUGGACCGUUGCUAGCUAUAAAAAUACAACUGAUUUUUGUAUAUUGAUCUGGUAUCCUGUGACCUUGCUAAACUGAAUUAGUUCUACUUGUUUUGUGUUUUUUUGUGUGAAUUAUUUAGGAUUAUAUAUAGGAUUAUGUCGCCUAUGAAUAAAAACAGUUUUAAGACAUCCAGUUUAGAUGCCUUCCUCCCUAACCCUCACAUUACUGUACUAGCUAGAACCUCCAGUGAAUGUUGAAAAGAAGUAGUAAGAGCACAGUCUUACCUACCUUAUUCCCAAUCUUAGGGGAAAGGUACUUAUAUUUACCCAAUUAAGUACUAUGUUAGCUUUAGGCUCUUCAUAGAUGUCCUUGGUCAUAUUGCUGAAGUUGCCUUCUAUUCCUAGUUUGUUGGGAGAUUUUGAUCAUGAAUGGGUAUUGAAUUUUGUCAAAUGUUUUUCCUGUGUCUAUUCAGAUGAUCACGUGGGGCGUUUUAACCUUUAUUUUAUUAGACUUAUUUUAUGGCCCAGAAUACUCUUAGAGACUGUUCUAUGUGUACUUGAAAAGAAU
Long non-coding RNA from Mesoplodon densirostris (Blainville's beaked whale), 2500 nucleotides. RefSeq lists it as uncharacterized. The record is from RefSeq and is a predicted model, not a curated record. NCBI's taxonomy places the organism in Eukaryota, Metazoa, Chordata, Mammalia, Artiodactyla, Ziphiidae. The transcript has 5 exons.